This 249-nucleotide unclassified non-coding RNA is filed under the name uncultured fungus. RNAcentral's name for it is "sequence contains ITS1". Lineage: Eukaryota; Fungi. The record is from RNAcentral.
GUAACUUAUUUUUUUUGUUAUUCUCAGAAGAUCCACUAAAAACAAGAGUUUGGUAACCUCCGGCGGAUCGGCGCGCCGCCUCCGGGGGGGCGCCCGCCACCCCGAGAGGAGUGGUGGCGGCCCCCCUUCGGCGCCGGCGUCACCGCCGAAGCAACGACAAAAGGUAAAGUUCACAGUGGUUUCCGGAAGAGCUUUUUAGGGCCCUCCAGGCGUCUUUUAAUGAUCCCUCCGCUGGUUCACCAACGGAGA